This 509-nucleotide ribosomal RNA is filed under the name uncultured bacterium. RNAcentral's name for it is "bacterial SSU rRNA". It matches the Rfam family "Bacterial small subunit ribosomal RNA", at positions 938 to 1447 of the family's 1533-position model. The record is from RNAcentral.
CAUGUGGUUCAAUUCGAAGCAACGCGCAGAACCUUACCAGCCCUUGACAUGCCACGACGGUUUCCAGAGAUGGAUUCCUCCCCGCAAGGGGCGUGGACACAGGUGCUGCAUGGCUGUCGUCAGCUCGUGUCGUGAGAUGUUGGGUUAAGUCCCGCAACGAGCGCAACCCUCGCCCUUAGUUGCCAUCAUUCAGUUGGGCACUCUAAGGGGACUGCCGGUGAUAAGCCGGAGGAAGGUGGGGAUGACGUCAAGUCCUCAUGGCCCUUACGGGCUGGGCUACACACGUGCUACAAUGGCGGUGACAGUGGGAUGCAAUGGAGUAAUCCUGCGCAAAUCUCAAAAAGCCGUCUCAGUUCGGAUUGUGCUCUGCAACUCGAGCACAUGAAGUUGGAAUCGCUAGUAAUCGCAGAUCAGCACGCUGCGGUGAAUACGUUCCCGGGCCUUGUACACACCGCCCGUCACACCAUGGGAGUUGGCUUUACCUGAAGACGGUGCGCUAACCGCAAGGA